RNAcentral lists this long non-coding RNA (200 nucleotides) under Elaeis guineensis (African oil palm). RNAcentral describes it as "long non-coding RNA (EGUI_LNC048347)". The record is from RNAcentral. Lineage: Eukaryota; Viridiplantae; Streptophyta; Magnoliopsida; Arecales; Arecaceae.
UCCGAACUCCUACGGGAGCCAGACCUCGUCUCCAGCCCCAACUGUGGGAAGACUCCGUCCGGGCUCCUGUGGGGGCCAGAUUUCAUCCCCGACUUCAAUUGAAAGAAGACUCCGUCCGGGCUCCUGCGAAAGUCGGACUCCAGGCUCCUCUCAGACGGAUAGUUAGCCACCUCUCUCCAGCUACAGACUUCAACCGAACU